RNAcentral lists this unclassified non-coding RNA (302 nucleotides) under Hevea brasiliensis (rubber tree). Lineage: Eukaryota; Viridiplantae; Streptophyta; Magnoliopsida; Malpighiales; Euphorbiaceae. The record is from RNAcentral.
GUCCAAUGAUUUUUCUUUCAAGUUUUAGUUAUUCUAUGUUGCACAAAGUUGGUGCUUCUGUUUAUUAUGGACAAGAUUGGUGUUAAAUUAGUUAACAAAGAAUAGGUUAUUGUUAAAUUAUCAAACAUUUGACCAGUUUGCAGCAUUGAGUUGUUUUAUUUUGUAUCACUCCUACUUAUUUACUUCACUUGUGCUAAUCAUUUUCUUCAUCUUCUUUGCAUGAACCUUCUUGUCUGAGUCCAAUUGGACUCCCCUCUUUUACAUCUUUCUUUCCUUGAGUCAACCUCCAUCGAAGUCGUGAG